GCCUGAGUGGUGAAACUGGCAGACACGCCACUUUGAGGGAGUGGUGCUAAUUUAGCGUAUGGGUUCAAAUCCCAUCUCGGGUA
RNAcentral lists this transfer RNA (83 nucleotides) under Azobacteroides pseudotrichonymphae (SeqCode). Its description in RNAcentral is "Candidatus Azobacteroides pseudotrichonymphae tRNA-Leu". It matches the Rfam family "tRNA". Rfam says of the family: Transfer RNA (tRNA) molecules are approximately 80 nucleotides in length. Their secondary structure includes four short double-helical elements and three loops (D, anti-codon, and T loops). Further hydrogen bonds mediate the characteristic L-shaped molecular structure. tRNAs have two regions of fundamental functional importance: the anti-codon, which is responsible for specific mRNA codon recognition, and the 3' end, to which the tRNAs corresponding amino acid is attached (by aminoacyl-tRNA synthetases). tRNAs cope with the degeneracy of the genetic code in two manners: having more than one tRNA (with a specific anti-codon) for a particular amino acid; and 'wobble' base-pairing, i.e. permitting non-standard base-pairing at the 3rd anti-codon position. Lineage: Bacteria; Pseudomonadati; Bacteroidota; Bacteroidia; Bacteroidales. RNAcentral also lists the same sequence under 1 other name. The record is from RNAcentral.